RNAcentral lists this ribosomal RNA (518 nucleotides) under uncultured archaeon. RNAcentral's name for it is "bacterial SSU rRNA". It matches the Rfam family "Archaeal small subunit ribosomal RNA", at positions 325 to 846 of the family's 1478-position model. The record is from RNAcentral.
ACGGGGUGCAGCAGGCGCGAAAACUUCGCAAUGUGGGAAACCACGACGAGGGGAAUCCAAGUGCUUGCACAAUGUGUAGGCUGUUUCCAUGCCUAAAAAGCAUGGAGAGUAAGGGCUGGGUAAGACGGGUGCCAGCCGCCGCGGUAAUACCCGCAGCCCGAGUGGUGGUCGUUAUUAUUGGGCCUAAAACGUCCGUAGCCGGCCCGGUAAAUUCGUGGGGAAAUCGGUCAGCUUAACUGACCGAAGUCCGCGGAGACUGCCGGGCUUGGGACUGGGUGAGGUCAGAGGUACUUCAGGGGUAGGGGUAAAAUCCUGUAAUCCUUGAAGGACCACCAGUGGCGAAGGCGUCUGACUAGAACGGAUCCGACGGUAAGGGACGAAGCCCUGGGGCACAAACGGGAUUAGAUACCCCGGUAGUCCAGGGUGUAAACGCUGUGGGCUUGGUGUUGGGAGUCCCACGAGGGCGCCCAGUGCCGGAGAGAAGUUGUUAAGCCUACUGCCUGGGAGUACGCUCGCAA